GAGAUCGGUGUAGGAAGAGAGAGAGAGAAAGAAAGAAAUAGAAAGAGAGAGGCUGCAGUUACCACCGGCAACCGAGAGAGGAGAGGAAGAAUAAGAAGAAGAAGAAUAAGAAGAAUGAGAAGGAGAAGCUGGUGCUACGCGCGAUACUGGGACCAGAGAAGAAGAAACCCACGGUGGCGGCCAAGUGUGAAUUUGCAUUCCCGAGUGUGCUUUGAUGUGGUACCACUAGAUCUGUGUCGGAUUUGAGGGCGCGAAGUAUUUUACAGUGAAUUUCAACCAAUCCACAACGGAGAGCGAUGGCGAGUGGGGGCGGUAUGUGGUGGUCUGAUGGCGGCUUGUGUGGAGGCGCACAGACUUUCGAUGGUUAUGCACAGUGAGUCUUAGGGACCCAGUUUUGGUAGGUGAGUUUAAAAACCCUGAUGGUUUAGUGUUUUAGAUUUAAGGUUAAUUAAUCCUAUUUAAUUUUAACGCAACGAAUUAUUUAUCCAGUUUAAAAUUAGAAAUAAGUCUAAACACGAGUGUUUAAAAUUAGGAGAUAGUCAAUUCAUUACUAACCCGAUGCAGAUAUCACUAUAACAGGUUGAUCUUGUAUCUUAGAGAUAAUUUCACGAAAAAGAUUUAGACAGAAAUGAGGUAAGUGCGUAAGUGCUUAUAAAUAUAGUUUAAUCUUUAUAAGAUAUCAAAACUAUGAUAUUUAAUAAUUGACAAUUUAUUAAUAAGAAUAGAAUUCCGACAGAAUUUUAUUAUUAAAUUUUUAUUCUUAUUUACGUUUAUUAUUGAAACUGCUGAUGAAUUGUUCUGCUAUGUUUUGUAACUGAAUUCGUAUAUGUACUGGUUGCUAUAUAAUUGGGAGUAUAUUAAGGAUAUGUAAAAGAGUUUAUGAUGAUAAAUAGUUACAGUACGUGUGUUAGGUAUAUAAUAUAUUAAAUAAUAAAAUUAGAAAAUUUAUUAAUAAGUUGAAAUAAAUAAAUAGAUAUUAAAAGAUUUAAAAAACUCAUUUAACUGGUAUCACCGAGGGGUGGGUGUGUGUAGUUUUUUGGCGUGUGACUGUGGUGAACUCUAACUGUGGAUAAGGUUUUAGCCAGACGUGACAAAACAAUAAAAAUUGUGAACUUUAUAUUGUGUACUGCAAACUGUGAAUUAGGAAUUGAAUUAUGACAUAUUCACGUGGUAGAAAGGAUUGUUAUUCCUCUCGUUGAUACCAGUGAAAAUGGCAUCGCGUGAUAAAAUUAUUUUUAAUAAGAUAUAAACCAAUAUGAAUGAAUAAGAAGUCAUGAGUAAAGUUCACGAUAUUGAAACACUAAACUGAUAUCUACUGAACUAUUUACUGCUUAAAUUGUGAUAUUGAAUACUGAAUUAUAUUAUUUAUUGAACUGUUUAUAUUAUGAAUUAUGAUACUAAAAUAAGAAAUUUUGAAUAAACUGAUUUAGAUGAUUUGAUGAUUCAAU
RNAcentral lists this long non-coding RNA (1448 nucleotides) under Carica papaya (papaya). Its description in RNAcentral is "long non-coding RNA (CPAP_LNC010349)". Lineage: Eukaryota; Viridiplantae; Streptophyta; Magnoliopsida; Brassicales; Caricaceae. The record is from RNAcentral.